RNAcentral lists this ribosomal RNA (111 nucleotides) under Caerostris darwini. The record is from RNAcentral. Lineage: Eukaryota; Metazoa; Arthropoda; Arachnida; Araneae; Araneidae.
AACGGCCAUACCAUGCUGAAUAUACCGGUUCUCGUUAGAUCACCGAAGUCAAGCAUCAUUGGGCGCGGUCAGUACUUGGGUGGGGACCACUUGGGAACACCGCGUGCCGUU